Molecule: ribosomal RNA, 499 nt
Filed under: uncultured bacterium
Lineage: Bacteria
Description: bacterial SSU rRNA
Rfam family: Bacterial small subunit ribosomal RNA
Source: RNAcentral
CAGGAUGAACGCUAGCGGCAGGCUUAACACAUGCAAGUCGAGGGGCAACGCGAGUAGCAAUACUUGGCGGCGACCGGCGCAAGGGUGCGUAACGCGUGAGCAACAUGCCCGUAUCAGGGGGAUAAUCCAGGGAAACUUGGUCUAAUACCCCAUAGUAAUUUUGUAAGGCAUCUUAUAAGAUUUAAAGCUUUGGUGGAUACGGAUUGGCUCGCGUGACAUUAGCUGGAUGGUAAGGUAACGGCUUACCAUGGCUAUGAUGUCUAGGGGUUCUGAGAGGAAGGUCCCCCACACUGGAACUGAGACACGGUCCAGACUCCUACGGGAGGCAGCAGUGAGGAAUAUUGGACAAUGGAUGGAAAUCUGAUCCAGCCAUGCCGCGUAGAAGGAAGAAGGUCCUAUGGAUUGUAAACUUCUUUUGUAUGGGAGCAAUAAGGCCUACGAGUAGGCUGAUGAGAGUACCAUACGAAUAAGCACCGGCUAACUCCGUGCCAGCCGCCGC